AACGAACGCUGGCGGCAUGCCUAACACAUGCAAGUCGAACGAACCCUUCGGGGUUAGUGGCGCACGGGUGCGUAACGCGUGGGAACCUGCCCUUAGGUUCGGAAUAACUCAGAGAAAUUUGAGCUAAUACCGGAUAAUGUCUUCGGACCAAAGAUUUAUCGCCUUAGGAUGGGCCCGCGUUGGAUUAGCUAGUUGGUGAGGUAAAAGCUCACCAAGGCGACGAUCCAUAGCUGGUCUGAGAGGAUGAUCAGCCACACUGGGACUGAGACACGGCCCAG
RNAcentral lists this ribosomal RNA (278 nucleotides) under uncultured bacterium. RNAcentral's name for it is "partial 16S ribosomal RNA". It matches the Rfam family "Bacterial small subunit ribosomal RNA", at positions 29 to 334 of the family's 1533-position model. The record is from RNAcentral.